GCCGUCAAACCACCGCUCCACUAGUCCAAUCGCAUGCAGAAGAAACUCGAUAUGGGUCGUAGCGUGCUGCUAAAUAGACAGAAAAUAUCUGCGCUAAUCAGCCACUGACUGGCGCGUUUCCUGAUUAAGACAAAGGUGAUGGAAAGACAGCAUAUCUAUGUUUUGAUUGUCACAUAAAUGGCCAAUUUGAGGUCCAGCAUAAAGGCGGUGCUCUGUGAUAAGUAGGUCCCAUCCCUGAAGCAUUCGUAGAAUUUGCGAUUCAAAGAUAAGAUAAUGGGAUUGCGGUGUGCCUUGAGAACCGAGAAGGUAAAGUAGCAAGUGGACAUUUAUCACGCAUAACAAAAUUAAAGUUCUAAAACUUCAUCCCAGGUACUGGUUCAGGUUGCAAUACUAAAAUAAACUGAGUCGCUCACGAAUCCGUGACGCUUAGAAAGACAAACACAUAUCAAGAUGCAGACCUGACGCGUAAUUGUAAAUUGACACCAAGCAACAAGAUGGCAACAGAUCAUUAAUCAUUAUUGUUUGUCGUGCACAACAACUGAUGAAAUCCUGCUAACAAGGUUCUAGCCGGUAAAUUUUUAAUUCAGUCGUGGACCUCCAUUAGUACGAUGCACUUCCUUGCGUUAAGAAACAAAAAAUUGAAUUGCAUGAUGGAAACAAAUGCCUGCACGGAAGACCGGGUGAAGACAAAGGAACGGCAACGCCCUAGAGAACAGACACUCUUUCAUUCGUUUCGUGGCGUCUUUACUUCGGGUUGUAUUCACUGCUAUUUAGAGCUGAAGUUGGCCAACCACUCGGCUCGCCAACUUAUUCCUCAAGAUUGUGCGACAACAUAUUCCACUCCAGGGCUAGUCUAUUGACGACUUUAACACUUCAGUGGAAGGAAGUAAUCGAUUGAGUCUAUUUCAUUCAACGUUCGGAAGCUAAAUCUAUUUGUGGCGGCAUAGCGUGUGGACCAAGGUACCUACUUUAGUAAUCACUGUAUUCCACGCGCCUUCGAAACACUACAUGGUUUUACGAUCGUGAUUUUUGCGUCGAAAAGUUCAUUAAAACAUUUCGAUAUUUCCAAGUGAA
This is a long non-coding RNA of Stylophora pistillata, 1074 nucleotides long. RefSeq lists it as uncharacterized. NCBI's taxonomy places the organism in Eukaryota, Metazoa, Cnidaria, Anthozoa, Scleractinia, Pocilloporidae. The record is from RefSeq and is a predicted model, not a curated record.